Pongo pygmaeus (Bornean orangutan) is the source of this 2844-nucleotide long non-coding RNA. RefSeq lists it as uncharacterized. NCBI's taxonomy places the organism in Eukaryota, Metazoa, Chordata, Mammalia, Primates, Hominidae. The record is from RefSeq and is a predicted model, not a curated record. The transcript is spliced from 5 exons.
GACUUCCAGGGAGGAGGGCCCCACACCCACCUUCCAGCACAGAUAACUGCUCUGAGAACUGCGCUCCGCCCCUGCUUCACCCCCAGGACUGGGCCCUGCAAUGAUCAGAUCCACCCAGCAGCCCCUCACCUGCCCCACCGGUCUCUGUCUGCAGCCACUGGCCACUUACAGCCUCUACUCCUGGUCAUUUCACGGCACUUUGGCUCCCCAAGACCAACCAGUCUGAAGGAAGCCUGGUUUCCAUAGAAACAGAUGGACUGCUGAGCUGUCCCCAGCAUGAAGACUAUGCCCGUGAGGGCUGGCUUAGGAAACCUGACUGGCCGGGGGAGUGGGGAAGAUGAGGGAGGGAAGAGGAAGGGGCCCAGAACAUCCAUCGGUGGCCAAGCCUCCCUGUGAGUCAAGGGGGAGUCACUGCUGCUGCGCACCUCAGCCAAGGAGCCACUGCCUUUCCAAACAAGAGCUUCUGUGAUGGGGCAGGCAGCACACCUGUUCCUCCACCCCUCAUAAGGAAGACUGCCCCCAGGGCCACCUACGCCGGGGCUGGGAGGAGCGGGGCAAGUACUUCAAGACCAUGAAUCCCCUGCAAUCCCCACCACAACCCUAUGAGAAUGGCCAUAUUAUCACCCCCAUCUUACACAUGAGAAAACAAAGGCUCAUGUGACUUAUUCGAGUGUCCCUUGAGAUCCUGAGCCAGUGGAGGGCGGAGCUGCAGCAUCCGUCUUCCUCAUCAUCUCAGCAUCACCACUGGACUCAGUGUCCAGGCUGCUGCAAAGAGUGAGGACAGAGCGGAACUGGCCGGGAGAGGCGGGCGCAGGAUGCGAGUCCCGUGGCAGUGGCAAACCCCGUCUCCAUGACACAGCUCUGCAGUUGAGAAAGGUUCCACGCCCCAUUUCCAAGAACCUCCAGGAACAUGUGCCCUGGGAUCUGGUAGUGGAAGGUUUGUCCUGGAGCUGGAAGGUGGCAGUGUGUCCUGAGUCACUGGGCUCGCAGACAGGACAGCUGAGGUCACAGGCAGAUUCUGCCAUCACUGGGGCUCAAUUUCCAGAAAGGCAGAGGAAAGCCCAACCUUUCAUCAGAAACAUUUCCAAAGCUUUAGGGACAAAUAUGAACAUUUCCCUACUGUGCUGAAGAGGGUGAGAGGUCAGGGCAGAGCAGGUGGCAAGAAGGAGGCAUUCCUGGGCUCCUCCCCCGGGGGUCUGAAGCUGCUGCUGUGGGCAAGGGGAUCAGGCCCUCUGAUGGCCUCCAUCACCGCUCAGAAGUCACUGGGAGGUUCUUCCUGUCUCGACGGUCAUUCACUUGGGCCGAACAUGAAGAAUUCCUGUGCUUUUCGACUCAGAGAAUAGGCCAGCCUGCCCCUUGGUCCAGUGACCAUGUCAGGGCCCUCAAGGGCAGCUGGUGUCAUCAUCAGGACAGCCUGACUUCCAGAUCCUAUGGGGCUAGGGGUCUGGUGAGAAUGCAGCAGGCACCUCCCUCUCCUCCCUGCCCCCAACUCUCCCCACGCCCCUCCCCUGCCCCGUGGCUGUUCAGGAACUUAGAGGGGAGGAGAAGAGGGUGGGAGAGGAAGGGAGAGGAAAGGAGAGGAGCUUCCUCGAAGGGAUGCUUCACAUUUUGAGCCCGUUUCUUCAAAAGCAAGUGAUGAUUUGUCUUCUGGGUGAGUUGGGGGAGGCAGGUGGAAGGGUCCCUGCCCUUUUUGCAGGAUAAAACGGGCCACAACCAUAGUCCAGGACUGAGUGUCUCCCCAAUCCUGGGGUGCUGGCUUAGUGGUUAAAGGACUAGCUCAUGACUUAAAAGGCUUGUGCUUCAUCCUGGCUCUACCACUUAUGAGCUGUAUGCCUUUGGGCCAGUGACUCUGCCUCCCUGGGCCUCAGUUUCCUCAUCCGUUAAAUGGGGUGUAAUAAUGACACCAACCUCUCACCAGUGAGAAGAUGCACAAAAAAACAUCCAGAACAGCGCCUGUUUUGUAGUUAAUGUUCAAUAAUAAUGCUGCUCAUUAUUUUUAGACUAGAAGACUCUACUUCCUUGCCUCAGUUGCCCCCUUGACCAAAUCUGCCUCAAAGCAGGUCCCCUUCUAGGGAUCAUGUGCCAGGUCAGAGUUGGGUGCUCAGAAGGGAGUAGUCAUAGGAAGGAAGUGAGAUGAGAGAGAGCAAGGGUCACUUUGGGGCAGGAGGACGAUGCUGUGCUGGCCCUGGGAGGGGUCCAGCCGGUGUAGCAGGAUAAACAGUGAGACGCAGGGUGCCGGGGAGGUAUCAUGGACCAGGAGUCAGAACAUCAGGCACCCCGCCCUGCAGCUGCCUCUCCUGGCCUGUGUGUCCUGGGGUGACUGAUAUACUGUCUCUGAGCCUCACUUUCCUCACCUGUGAAAUGGGAGGAAUUCAUCCCUUCUCAGUCACUCACUCUUCCUCAGCCCCUCACUCCCCGCUAGCUGCAGGGCAGGCACAUUCCAGCCUCAGGGCCUUUACAUGGGCUGUGCUCUAGCUGUCUAUACAGCUCACUCCCUCAUCUCCCUCAAGGUUGUAGCUCAAAAGUUACCUCCUCAGGGAGGCCUUCCUGACACCCUAUUUAAAAUGACAACCCAGUCCCUGGCCUCAAUACCCCCAACACAACCUUUCCCCUUCACCUCUCAGUACACUAUAUACUUUGCUUAUUGUUUUUAUUAGCUAAUUGCCUCCCCCUGCCCCCUGCUUUUAAGCAUCAGUUCCAUGAGGACAAAAAUUUUUAUUUUGUCCACAGCUGUCUCUCCAGUGCCUGAAACUGUCCCUGGCACUUUGCUCCAUAAGCCAUUUUUGGUGUAAUGCUCACAAACAUUUUGUUCAAUAAGCAAAAGUAAAGAACAGCCCCAAACUG